This is a long non-coding RNA of Dicentrarchus labrax (European seabass), 1373 nucleotides long. RefSeq lists it as uncharacterized. The transcript has 2 exons. NCBI's taxonomy places the organism in Eukaryota, Metazoa, Chordata, Actinopteri, Moronidae. The record is from RefSeq and is a predicted model, not a curated record.
UCGUGCUGCCUUCAGGGGCUCCCUGUAAGCUCCCAAAUUCCAGCACUCGUGUUGUUUAUGUCAUCAUGCGUUGAGCUGUUUUUACAUGGACAUUUAAAGGCAAUAGACAAUGUAAAGGGGUGUUUUCUUCCUUUAAGGUGUCAGUUUCUUACAGUUAGGGCUACAUGCAUAGGUUAGCUACCAUACUGCCAUUUGUGUUUUUCCAUUAUGUUCUUAAGUGCACAUACAUUCACUUAUGUGUAUUGCAUGCCUAUUUAAUGCUUUCUAUCCAUCAGUUAAAGUCCCCCUCCACUCAAAACGUGUUGUUCUUCUUGUUCCUACAGUGUGAGCUUCACUGUGCAGAAUGACGUAUGUGCAGAGUUUGACACUAGAGGGAUGUUUUCACAUUCAUCUGCUGAAAGUUUCUCUGUGCUCAUUGAAAGUCUGCGAGCAUGAUUUGUGACAUCACAAAUAGUUUGGAAGUCAGUCCUGGGUCAGUAUUUCGUGGACAGUCAUAGCAAACCUUAACAUUUCCGACGGUCCGUGAAUGCAGCAUUACCGCAGCGUUCUCAGCAGGGCUGCACUAACAGGCAACAAGGAAGCAGAAUAACGGAGUGCAUCUGACGGUGCUCCCACAGAGGUCCAACAGAACAACGCGCCGAGCUGCGGAUUGUCUGAAUCCUGAUUGAAACACAUGAAUACAACAAUCGUUGGCACUCAAAACACAUCAUUCAUUAAUGUAGGCCUACUGGCGUUUCAGGCACACACCCUCCAGUCAAAGGGCAACAGUGCUGCAACAUGCACGGGUGUGCUUUUAUAAGAUUGAUCAGAUUAAUAAAGUUCAGCAAUGUAGUCAACAGGGGGGUCAUAUACCUGAGGCCACCAGACCCACCCUCCUUGGAUUAUCUGUAUGGUCUUAUAAUAUGAGCUCUGGGAACCAUAACACAUAGUAUAUUCCUAUCGAUGUGUAAUAUACAGAUGCAACAUUAAAAAGCAUCUAUACAUAUAUAAGUAUUAUAUAAUAUAUUAUAUUAUUAUAAAUAUAUAUAUUAUAUAAUACUUCAAGUAUUAGGAGAGUUAGUGGAGUGGACACAUAUUUACAUGUAAAAAUCUGGUUAUUUUCUCCAAUGGUUCCAGGCCCUUUAUACCUCAGAUUAAAAAUGCAUUCACACAGCCUUCACUUUAGGCUCCUGAAACAACACAAAUCAGCCCAAUCAUCUAUUACCAGGGCAGAAGGAAUACAAAUGAUUUAGCAAAAGGUAAUUCUUUACUUCACUUUACUUUAUGUACAGAUCCCUCCUGUAUCUGUAUAACCUCCUUUUUAUAUGACAACCUCACAACAAAUUCAUAAUGACAGACGGCUGUCCCUUCACAAUAAAUAACUUAAUAACACA